CAGUCGCCACGGUAAUACGUAGGGGGCUAGCGUUAUCCGGAUUUACUGGGCGUAAAGGGUGCGUAGGUGGUCCUUCAAGUCGGUGGUUAAAGGCUACGGCUCAACCGUAGUAAGCCGCCGAAACUGGAGGACUUGAGUGCAGGAGAGGAAAGUGGAAUUCCCAGUGUAGCGGUGAAAUGCGUAGAUAUUGGGAGGAACACCAGUAGCGAAGGCGGCUUACUGGACGACAACUGACGUUGAGGCUCGAAGGCGUGGGUAGCAAACAGGAUUAGAUACCCCAGUAGUCCCUGUCUCUUAUACA
This 301-nucleotide ribosomal RNA is filed under the name uncultured bacterium. RNAcentral describes it as "partial 16S ribosomal RNA". It matches the Rfam family "Bacterial small subunit ribosomal RNA", at positions 509 to 808 of the family's 1533-position model. The record is from RNAcentral.